Molecule: ribosomal RNA, 274 nt
Filed under: uncultured bacterium
Lineage: Bacteria
Description: partial 16S ribosomal RNA
Rfam family: Bacterial small subunit ribosomal RNA
Source: RNAcentral
AUACGGAGGGUGCAAGCGUUAAUCGGAAUUACUGGGCGUAAAGCGCUCGUAGGCGGCUUUUUAAGUCGGAUGUGAAAGCCCCGGGCUCAACCUGGGAACUGCAUUCGAUACUGACAAGCUAGAGUAUAGUAGAGGCAAGUGGAAUUCCGGGUGUAGCGGUGAAAUGCGUAGAUAUCCGGAGGAACAUCAGUGGCGAAGGCGACUUGCUGGACUAAUACUGACGCUGAGGAGCGAAAGCGUGGGGAGCAAACGGGAUUAGAAACCCCAGUAGUCC